Molecule: transfer RNA, 73 nt
Filed under: Candidatus Riesia sp.
Lineage: Bacteria; Pseudomonadati; Pseudomonadota; Gammaproteobacteria; Enterobacterales; Enterobacteriaceae
Description: tRNA-Val
Rfam family: tRNA
About the family: Transfer RNA (tRNA) molecules are approximately 80 nucleotides in length.
Source: RNAcentral
ACCCCGAUGAUUUGUAGUGGUAGCAAGCAACCCUUACAUGGUUGAGGUCAAGGUUCGAUUCCUUGUUGGGGUA